Molecule: transfer RNA, 75 nt
Filed under: Candidatus Saccharimonadota bacterium
Lineage: Bacteria; Candidatus Saccharimonadota
Also listed under: 3 other names
Description: tRNA-Gly
Rfam family: tRNA
About the family: Transfer RNA (tRNA) molecules are approximately 80 nucleotides in length. Their secondary structure includes four short double-helical elements and three loops (D, anti-codon, and T loops).
Source: RNAcentral
GCGGGUGUGGUAUAACGUUUAUUAUUCCUGCCUUCCAAGCAGGCGACGAGGGUUAGACUCCCUCCACCCGCACCA